This 497-nucleotide ribosomal RNA is filed under the name uncultured bacterium. RNAcentral's name for it is "partial 16S ribosomal RNA". It matches the Rfam family "Bacterial small subunit ribosomal RNA", at positions 28 to 507 of the family's 1533-position model. The record is from RNAcentral.
GAUGAACGCUGGCGGCGUGCCUAAUACAUGCAAGUCGAGCGAACAGACGAGGAGCUUGCUCCUCUGACGUUAGCGGCGGACGGGUGAGUAACACGUGGAUAACCUACCUAUAAGACUGGGAUAACUUCGGGAAACCGGAGCUAAUACCGGAUAAUAUAUUGAACCGCAUGGUUCAAUAGUGAAAGCCGGUUUUGCUGUCACUUAUAGAUGGAUCCGCGCCGCAUUAGCUAGUUGGUAAGGUAACGGCUUACCAAGGCAACGAUGCGUAGCCGACCUGAGAGGGUGAUCGGCCACACUGGAACUGAGACACGGUCCAGACUCCUACGGGAGGCAGCAGUAGGGAAUCUUCCGCAAAGGGCGAAAGCCUGACGGAGCAACGCCGCGUGAGUGAUGAAGGUCUUCGGAUCGUAAAACUCUGUUAUUAGGGAAGAACAAAUGUGUAAGUAACUAUGCACGUCUUGACGGUACCUAAUCAGAAAGCCACGGCUAACUACGUG